AGUGAACGCUGGCGGUAGGCCUAACACAUGCAAGUCGAACGGCAGCACAGUAAGAGCUUGCUCUUACGGGUGGCGAGUGGCGGACGGGUGAGGAAUACAUCGGAAUCUACUUUUUCGUGGGGGAUAACGUAGGGAAACUUACGCUAAUACCGCAUACGACCUACGGGUGAAAGCAGUGGAUCUUCGGACCUUGCGCGAUUGAAUGAGCCGAUGUCGGAUUAGCUAGUUGGCGGGGUAAAGGCCCACCAAGGCGACGAUCCGUAGCUGGUCUGAGAGGAUGAUCGGCCACACUGGAACUGAGACACGGUCCAGACUCCUACGGGAGGCAGCAGUGGGGAAUAUUGGACAAUGGGCGCAAGCCUGAUCCAGCCAUACCGCGUGGGUGAAGAAGGCCUUCGGGUUGUAAAGCCCUUUUGUGGGGAAAGAAAAGCAGCAGGUUAAUACCCCGCUGUUCUGACGGUACCCAAAGAAUAAGCACCGGCUAACUUCGUG
Molecule: ribosomal RNA, 492 nt
Filed under: uncultured bacterium
Lineage: Bacteria
Description: partial 16S ribosomal RNA
Rfam family: Bacterial small subunit ribosomal RNA
Source: RNAcentral